RNAcentral lists this long non-coding RNA (1026 nucleotides) under Accipiter nisus (Eurasian sparrowhawk). RNAcentral describes it as "lncRNA (ENSANIG00000017148.1)". The record is from RNAcentral. Lineage: Eukaryota; Metazoa; Chordata; Aves; Accipitriformes; Accipitridae.
ACCCGACCCGCAGAAUCCAGCCGGAGAAGCGUUUGCUUCUCGCGGAAGGGGGAAGCGAGCGGGACCGGGACAGGCGGCCCCAGGGCCACGGCCGGCGGGACCGGGACGGGAGGGCUCGCGCUCGCCCCCGCUCCCGCGGGGCCCCGCACUCACCUCACGCCGGAGCCGCGCCCGGACUGCGGGGCGGGGCCUGCGCUCGGCCCCGCCGCUUCCGCCGCGCUAGCGGGGUUGGGGGCGGCCCGGCCCCUUCCUGCCCGCCUGAGGGGAGCCGGGGAACCACUCGCCGGCAGCGGGCGCUGGGUUUGGGUCCGGCCUCGGCAGGUUUGUGCUAGGCCUGCGUGGGGCCGGGCGAGGGUGAAGGCGCCUGGGCGGCGCGGGAAGGCCGAGCUGGCGGCCGGGGGACGGCGGGCGCCCCGGGCGGGGCGGGGCGGUGCCGGCUGGCCGGGUCGCUCGUCGGUGGAGGGGGCGGCGGGCGAGCGGAGCCCGCGCCUGCCUCCUGCGCGUGGGUUUUCGGUGGAAGUACCUCAGAUCGGCAGAAAAGGAGCGAUGGCUCCAGGCCGUCGUUGGUCAGACGGGAGCCGAGGGCAGGUGGGUUGCGGUGAGCGCGGUCGGCCCUUGGGAUGCCGAACCGGGGCCUGCGCGGUGCCGGCUGCUCGUCCUGGCGCCCCGCCGCCCGAGGCGGCUGCAGCCGGGGGCGAAGGCGGGGCCGGGCCGGAGCUGGCUGCUGGCGGGUCCCCCGGCUCCUGUGAGAGGCCUUGCCAAACCUGGGGCUUACCAGGGAGGGCAGUACGUGGAGAAGAAAUUAGCGUGUGGAACUGUCGAUUUGCGCACAGCUGCGAUUUUAUUAUCAUCGUUCCAAAUGCUUUGUUCGAAAGUAUUACUGAGGUGAAAAAAGUUUCAUCCUGUGCUUGGAUGCAGGUACCCGUCUGUUGCAGGCACUGGGAGUUGUCAGAAGGUGGCUCUAAAUCACGCUUCUGUUUAGGUACUGGCACGUGUCUUUUAUCUAUUAAUUUCUCUCAUUUAUAA